UACGGAGGGUGCAAGCGUUGUUCGGAUUCAUUGGGCGUAAAGCGAGUGUAGGCGGUUUGACAAGUCGGAUGUGAAAUCCCGGGGCCCAACCCCGGAACUGCAUCCGAUACUGUCUGGCUAGAGUCCCGGAGAGGGUGGCGGAAUUCCCGGUGUAGGGGUGAAAUCCGUAGAUAUCGGGAGGAACACCAGUGGCGAAGGCGGCCACCUGGACGGUGACUGACGCUGAGACUCGAAAGCGUGGGUAGCAAAC
This 250-nucleotide ribosomal RNA is filed under the name uncultured bacterium. RNAcentral's name for it is "partial 16S ribosomal RNA". It matches the Rfam family "Bacterial small subunit ribosomal RNA", at positions 524 to 773 of the family's 1533-position model. The record is from RNAcentral.